UCUCAUUUCUUCCAAGUUUGUGCAUUGUCAGAUCAAUGUUUCCUUUUCUUUUUCUUGCCACAUGAUCAGGUUUGUGCAGCAUUUGUUCAGCUAAUUGAAGUCCGUCCAUCUGUUCUAGAGCCAAAUAUGAAGAAUGUAAUUGAAUAUAUGUUGCAAGUAAAUAAGGACACUGAUGAUGAGGCGGCACUUGAAGCAUGUGAAUUUUGGUCUGCUUAUUGUGAUGCGCAGUUACCACCUGAGAUUUUGAGAGAAUAUUUUACCACGUCUAAU
Gossypium raimondii (Peruvian cotton) is the source of this 270-nucleotide RNA transcript. RefSeq lists it as uncharacterized. The record is from RefSeq and is a predicted model, not a curated record. The transcript is spliced from 3 exons. Lineage: Eukaryota; Viridiplantae; Streptophyta; Magnoliopsida; Malvales; Malvaceae.